UUUUUGUUUAUAAUUUAAAGUCUAAUCUGCCCACUGAUAAAAAAUAUUGUUGGGCUGCAGUAUUUUGACUGUACAAAGGUAGCAUAAUCAUUAGUCUCUUAAUUGGUGACUUGUAUGAAGGAUUUAAUGAAAUAUAUACUGUCUCUUUUAAAUUUAUAGAAUUUAAUUUUUUAGUUAAAAAGCUAAAAUUUGUUUAAAAGACGAGAAGACCCUAUAGAGUUUAAUAUUUUUAUUAAUUUUUAUUUUUUAUAAAAUUGUUAUUAUAAAAAUUAAUUAAAUUAUUUUGUUGGGGUGAUAGAAAAAUUAAAUUAACUUUUUUUAUAAUUUUUACAUUAAUUUAUGAUUAAAUGAUCCGUAAUUUACGAUUAUAAGAUAAAAUUACCUUAGGGAUAACAGCGUAAUUUUUUUUUUUAGUUCAUAUAAGAAAAAAAGUUUGCGACCUCGAUGUUGGAUUAAGAUAAAAUUUAAAUGCAAAAGUUUAAAAUUUUGAUCUGUUCGAUCAUUAAAAUCUUACA
This 515-nucleotide ribosomal RNA is filed under the name Luehdorfia japonica. Its description in RNAcentral is "partial 16S ribosomal RNA". The stretch from base 389 to 515 matches the Rfam family "Bacterial large subunit ribosomal RNA", at positions 2473 to 2600 of the family's 2925-position model. Lineage: Eukaryota; Metazoa; Arthropoda; Insecta; Lepidoptera; Papilionidae. The record is from RNAcentral.